Molecule: ribosomal RNA, 409 nt
Filed under: uncultured bacterium
Lineage: Bacteria
Description: bacterial SSU rRNA
Rfam family: Bacterial small subunit ribosomal RNA
Source: RNAcentral
AACGAACGCUGGCGGCGCGUUUUAAGCAUGCAAGUCGAGCGGUAAGGUCCUUCGGGACCCCAGAGCGGCGGACGGGUGAGUAACACGUGGAUAAUCUGCCUUCCAGUCCGGGAUAGCACAUGGAAACAUGUGAUAAUACCGGAUACGAUGUGCCUGCCACAUGGCGGGUGCAGGAAAGGUCCUGCGGGAUCGCUGGGAGAUGAGUCCGCGGCCCAUUAGCUGGUUGGCGGGGUAAAGGCCCACCAAGGCGACGAUGGGGUAGCCGGCCUGAGAGGGUGAACGGCCACAUUGGGACUGAGACACGGGUCCAAACUCCUACGGGAGGCAGCAGUGGGAAUGUUGCACAAUGGGCGAAAGCCUGAUGCAGCAACGCCGCGUGAACGAUGAAGGCCUUCGGGUCGUAAAGUUC